RNAcentral lists this ribosomal RNA (861 nucleotides) under Isurus paucus (longfin mako shark). RNAcentral's name for it is "partial 16S ribosomal RNA". The stretch from base 181 to 861 matches the Rfam family "Bacterial large subunit ribosomal RNA", at positions 568 to 1682 of the family's 2925-position model. Lineage: Eukaryota; Metazoa; Chordata; Chondrichthyes; Lamniformes; Lamnidae. The record is from RNAcentral.
UUAAAGCUAGCCUGUCCACCUACCUUAAACCCAACAUUAUUACUCUACCUAACUCGUAAGCUCCUAACUAAAACAUUUUAUCUCUUUAGUAUGGGCGACAGAACAAAAACUCAGCGCAAUAGACUAUGUACCGCAAGGGAGAGCUGAAAGAGAAAUGAAACAAAUAAUUAAAGUAAGAAAAAGCAGAGAUUCUACCUCGUACCUUUUGCAUCAUGAUUUAGCUAGAAAAACUAGACAAAGAGAUCUUUAGCCUACCUUCCCGAAACUAAACGAGCUACUCCGAAGCAGCACAACUUAGAGCCAACCCGUCUCUGUGGCAAAAGAGUGGGAAGACUUCCGAGUAGCGGUGACAAGCCUAUCGAGUUUAGUGAUAGCUGGUUGUCCAAGAAAAGAACUUCAAUUCUGCACUAAUUCUUUCAUCACCAAAAAGUCUACCAUACCAGGGCUAAAAAUAUAAGAAUUAGUAGUUAUUCAGAAGAGGUACAGCCCUUCUGAAUCAAGAUACAACUUUCAAAGGAGGGAAAUGAUCAUAUUUACCAAGGUUCUCACCUCAGUGGGCCCAAAAGCAGCCACCUGUAAAGUAAGCGUCACAGCUCCAGUCUCACAAAAACCUAUAAUUUAGAUAAUCUUCUCAGCACCCCCUUAACUUUAUUGGACUAUUUUAUAAACUUAUAAAAGAAAUUAUGCUAAAAUGAGUAAUAGGAGGACAAACCUCUCCCCGACACAAGUGUAUGUCAGAAAGAAUUAAUUCACUGACAAUUAUACGAACCCAGACUGAGGUUAUUAUACCUUAUUUUACCUUAACUAGAAAAUCUUAUUAUAACAUUCGUUAACCCUACACAGGAGUGUCUUAAGGAAAGA